GAGUUUGAUCUUGGCUCAGGAUGAACGCUAGCGGCAGGCUUAACACAUGCAAGUCGAGGGGCAGCACGGUGUAGCAAUACAUUGGUGGCGACCGGCGCACGGGUGCGUAACGCGUAUACAAUUUGCCUUAUACAGGGAGAUAGCCCGGAGAAAUUCGGAUUAAUAUCCCAUAACACUGCGCUAUGGCAUCAUAGUGCAUUUAAAGCUACGGCGGUAUAAGAUGAGUAUGCGUCUGAUUAGCUAGUUGGUGAGGUAACGGCUCACCAAGGCGACGAUCAGUAGGGGGCCUGAGAGGGUUAUCCCCCACACUGGAACUGAGACACGGUCCAGACUCCUACGGGAGGCAGCAGUGAGGAAUAUUGGUCAAUGGAGGCAACUCUGAACCAGCCAUGCCGCGUGUAGGAAGAAUGCCCUAUGGGUUGUAAAC
Molecule: ribosomal RNA, 427 nt
Filed under: uncultured Flavobacterium sp.
Lineage: Bacteria; Pseudomonadati; Bacteroidota; Flavobacteriia; Flavobacteriales; Flavobacteriaceae
Description: bacterial SSU rRNA
Rfam family: Bacterial small subunit ribosomal RNA
Source: RNAcentral